GUAGGUGAUACAUCUGAUUUCAUAUACUGCUUUAGUAAAAAAUAAUAUUUUCCAGGGCUCUGGCUCUCACCUGAGACCAUUGUCAACGCAUAUGCAGGACG
Molecule: long non-coding RNA, 101 nt
Organism: Etheostoma spectabile (orangethroat darter)
Lineage: Eukaryota; Metazoa; Chordata; Actinopteri; Perciformes; Percidae
Exons: 2
Source: RefSeq, a predicted model, not a curated record